CCUACGGGAGGCAGCAGUGAGGAAUAUUGGUCAAUGGCCGGAAGGCUGAACCAGCCAUGCCGCGUGAAGGUCAGUGCCCUAUGGGCGUUAAACUUCUUUUGUGCGGGAGCAAUAAUGGUCACGUGUGGCCAGACGAGAGUACCGUACGAAUAAGCAUCGGCUAACUCCGUGCCAGCAGCCGCGGUAAUACGGGGGAUGCAAGCGUUAAUCGGAAUUACUGGGCGUAAAGCGCUCGUAGGCGGUAUGUCAAGUCAAGGGUGAAAUCCCCGCGCUCAACGUGGGAACUGCCUUUGAAACUGGCAAACUGGAGUGUGUGAGAGGAUAGUGGAAUUCCAGGUGUAGGAGUGAAAUCCGUAGAUAUCUGGAGGAACAUCGGUGGCGAAGGCGGCCUGCUGGACUGCAACUGACGUUGAGGCCCGAAAGCGUGGGGAGCAAACAGGAUUAGAUACCCGGGUAGUC
This 459-nucleotide ribosomal RNA is filed under the name uncultured bacterium. Its description in RNAcentral is "partial 16S ribosomal RNA". It matches the Rfam family "Bacterial small subunit ribosomal RNA", at positions 338 to 795 of the family's 1533-position model. The record is from RNAcentral.